RNAcentral lists this ribosomal RNA (443 nucleotides) under uncultured bacterium. RNAcentral's name for it is "partial 16S ribosomal RNA". It matches the Rfam family "Bacterial small subunit ribosomal RNA", at positions 338 to 795 of the family's 1533-position model. The record is from RNAcentral.
CCUACGGGAGGCAGCAGUGGGGAAUAUUGGGCAAUGGGCGCAAGCCUGACCCAGCAACGCCGCGUGAAGGAAGAAGGCUUUCGGGUUGUAAACUUCUUUUAUGAGGGACGAAACAAAUGACGGUACCUCACGAAUAAGCCACGGCUAACUCCGUGCCAGCAGCCGCGGUAAUACGUAGGUGGCAAGCGUUAUCCGGAUUUACUGGGUGUAAAGGGCGUGUAGGCGGGACUGCAAGUCAGAUGUGAAAAUUAUGGGCUCAACCCAUAAACUGCAUUUGAAACUGGAGUUCUUGAGUGAUGGAGAGGCAGGCGGAAUUCCGUGUGUAGCGGUGAAAUGCGUAGAGAUACGGAGGAACACCAGUGGCGAAGGCGGCCUGCUGGACAAUAACUGACGCUGAGGCGCGAAAGCGUGGGGAGCAAACAGGAUUAGAUACCCUAGUAGUC